CAGGUGGGGAACAAGGGUCCCUGCAAAGGCAAGGAUUUCAAGUGACCAGGAAUGUGAAGGGGCCACUGGACAUGGAGAUAGAAGUUCGGGUUUGUGAAAGAAGCGAAGGGGAGGAAACCGUGAUAAGCUGCAGGAAAGGGAAGUAUACCCACGAUUCAGAAACCACGCAGUCCUUUGCACUCUUUUCUUCCUGGGACCGCCAAGAUACAUUUGACAACACUGACUUUUCUAACUAGCGGCUGGGAACAAAGGGGUGUUAGCAGUCCUGAUACUCAACUCAGGGGGCAAAGAGCCCCCAGCCCUUAAGAUGAUCUGACUUAUAGCAGAGAGCUUCCAGGGUAGGUGCUGGACUCUGGGGAAAGGGGAAAGGGCAGGAAAGGACAAUGCCGUCCUCAAUUCCGGGAGAGGAGGCCCGGCGGGGCCAACCCCAGGUUAGCGGGAUGGCCAGGUUUGAGCCUUUUGGGGCCCCCCCUUUCCCUCUGGUGAGUCCUUUCUUGCAUCAGCUUGGCUCCCCGCGCCCAGGAGGCCUUGCCCGACAUUUGGAUUACUGCCACGUCCCCUGUGCCUCUCAGAAUGUAUUUGCGGGGGCAGGGAUGGAGGGAAAACGGACCAGUUGAGCAACUCACCCAAUUGUUCGGUUUUGUUCUGGGCAUCUUUUUCAGGGGUGGGCGGCUCAGCUAAGGGGGUGACAGGAGGCUUCCCUGUGUAGGAGGAGGGGAGAGUCAGCUUAAGAGAGUGAAGCAUCAGGAAAGGGAGUACCUAGGGCAGAGGAAGUGGGACAAGCAGCCAGGAGAAGGAGAGAUGGAUGGAUGAGCCAACAGGCUGGAGAGGACAAAAAGCUGCCAAAAAGAAAUAGAGGAUGAAGGAGAAAUGGCAGGGUUAGAGCUAGGAGGGCCUAAGAGAUGCUGUCUGUGAGCCCAGCCCCCGUCAUUUCAAGACGAGGAAACAAGUCUGGCCAUAGGCAGCAGAGAUGGGGCCAACUCGGCUCCCCAUCUUGACUGGUCCUGGAAGCAGGGAGCCCAGAAACAUAAAGGGAGGGGCACUGGAGAAGGAAGGUGAGGCCGAAUGGAAGCAGGUGCGGCGAACAGGAGGCGGCAGGUCUAGCUGGGAGAGAUUACCACUCAAGUAAGAAUUGACAGAUGUGUAGGAAUUUAUUUUCGAUGGCAGCCUAAUUAAAGUGUUAAAGUUCCUUAACUCCAUUCAGCCCUGCGCCAGGAUCAUUAGCUAUUGAUCCGGGCCCCUCCGGCACUUAACUCCAGCCAGCAUAUUGGCAAUUCAAUUAGCACCAGUCAAUGCUGCCUCUUCCUGGUUCCUGCUGCCCGCACCCUCACCCUCGCCCGCCGCCGCCGCUGGCCCCUACAAAACCCGGAUGCCCGUGCCCACCUCUGACAGCCCCUUCCAGGCUCUUCUCCUGCACCCUCUGGAUCAAUGGCGCCUGGCUGGCUGUUCCCGGUCUCUGCUGGUACAACCUCAGCUGCCUAAGGGGGACCCUAAGCCCAGCCUUCGGGCUGAAGACCUCCUAGGAGACAGGAAGAGGCUGGGGAGCUCGUCAAGGGCUUCCUCUCCCUGCUGCCUUCGGGCCAGGCCCACAGCUCCCAUCUCCGAUCUCCUUCCAACACGCCCUGGCCCGGCACGAAGUGCAUCCUAUUCUGUUUUCCUACUUCCUCUCUCCUUCCUGACCAGCUCCUGCCGCCGCCCAACACCUAGCGUUGCCGGGACACUGGUCACCAUUCGGAAUCACUGGGUGAUUCCUCCUUACCUCCCUUCCCGUUUUCUGCUCUCCACCCAGCAAAGCCCCCGCCCUUCUCUGCCUCCUCCCUCGCACGAGCCUCCUACUUCCCCCCCUUCACUGGGCUGCCCCACUGCUCCCCAUGUCCGGUUUUAUCAGCCCUUCACGGCUGGCUCCUCUCCACUUGCUCUCGACUGCCCACAGACCCGGUUCUCCUCACUGGCAUGCCCUUCUCCCCAGCCCCAGCUCCCACCGCACGCCGCCGCCCAGCCCCUUCUUCCUCACCAGGAGUCCGGAGCUGCCCGUGGCUGAAGCUCAGGAUGCUCUGCAGGGCCGAGAGCCCUUCCUCGGCCGCGGGGCCGCUGUGCAGCAGCUGCAGGCGCCGCUGGGCCUGGGCGUCGCGGUGAGCCGGCGCACGCAGGUGCUGCAGCACAGCCAGGCGGGAGGGGGUCUCCCACGCACACAGCAGGCAGCGGAAGAGCCCCAGCUCGGCCCCCGCCGCGGCCCCCUCCAUCUCCAGCAGAAACUGGAAGCGUGGAAAGAGGCUGCUCAGGCCAGAAGGGACAGGGCCCUCUAGAUCUCAGGGGCCCCCUCCGCCUCCCCAACGGGAGCCUGACCAGCAGCAGCCCCUCCCUGCCCAUCCCUUCUGCCCUCUUGAGCACGCCCUUUUCCCUCCUCUGGCCACCUGGAUAUUAGUGCUUUUUCUCCCCCAUCUCCUUCUCUUCCUCCUACCAAUCCUGGCCUCCCUCCUGGUAGGUGAAUGGAAUCUGCUUCCAUCCUCUUGAACUGGUCACAAGAUGGCCUAAGCAGACAGACACCCCCCUUACCUCCCCACUCCCCACUCUAGUCCCAAACACCAGAAAAACUGAAUAAAGUGCUGGAUUCAUUU
Non-coding RNA from Callorhinus ursinus (northern fur seal), 2618 nucleotides. The record is from RefSeq and is a predicted model, not a curated record. Lineage: Eukaryota; Metazoa; Chordata; Mammalia; Carnivora; Otariidae.